RNAcentral lists this ribosomal RNA (1438 nucleotides) under marine sediment metagenome. RNAcentral's name for it is "bacterial LSU rRNA". It matches the Rfam family "Bacterial large subunit ribosomal RNA", at positions 664 to 1984 of the family's 2925-position model. The record is from RNAcentral.
AGCCGCAGCGAAAGCGAGUCUGAAUAGGGCGUCUAGUCGCAUGCCAUGGACCCGAAGCCAGGUGAUCUAUCCAUGGACAGGGUGAAGCGAGGGUAAGACCUCGUGGAGGCCCGAACCCACCUAGGUUGAAAACUGGGGGGAUGAUCUGUGGAUAGGGGUGAAAGGCCAAGCAAACCUGGCGAUAGCUGGUUCUCCCCGAAAUAGCUUUAGGGCUAGCGUCGUAUGUUCCGCAUUGGGGGUAGAGCACUGAUUGGGUUAGGGGGCCAACAAGCUUACCAACCCCAGUUAAACUCCGAAUCCCAAUGCGCCAAGUACGGCAGUCAGACCAUGGGGGAUAAGCUUCAUGGUCGAAAGGGAAACAGCCCAGACCGCCAGUUAAGGUCCCAAAGUCAGAACUAAGUGGGAAACGAUGUGGAGUCGCCCAAACAGCCAGGAGGUUGGCUUAGAAGCAGCCACCCUUUAAAGAGUGCGUAACAGCUCACUGGUCGAGUGAUUCCGCGCGGAUGAUGUAACGGGGCUCAAGUUCUGCACCGAAACUGCGGGAUUCUGUCAUUCAAACCCAGGCCUUCGUGGUCCAGGGGACAGAUUCGGUAGGGGAGCGUCGAACGGCCGACGAAGCCGCAGCGAAAGCGAGUGGUGGAGGCCGUUCGAGUGAGAAUGUCGGCAUGAGUAGCGAAUGAGGAGUGAGAAUCUCCUCCGCCGGAUGUCCAAGGUUUCCUGGGGAAGGCUCGUCCGCCCAGGGUUAGUCGGGACCUAAGGUGAGGCCGAGAGGCGUAAUCGAUGGAUAACGGGUUGAUAUUCCCGUACCACUAUGCAAGCGUCCAGGCCGAACCCAACUUGCUAAGGAAAGCCCUUCGGGGCCUACCGACCCAGUUGGUAUUAGGCCAGCAAUGGAGUGACGCGGAAGGGUAAGCGGACCCGGGCGCUGGUUGACCCGGGGUAAGCGUGUAGGACGAGAUCCAGGCAAAUCCGGAUCUCACCAAGUCUGAGGCGCGAUGCCGAACCGCAUGAGGUGAAGCCGCUGAACGCCCAUGCCGCCGAGAAAAGCUUCUAGCGAGCAUGCAUGGUGCCCGUACCCCAAACCAACACAGGUGGACAAGUAGAGAAUACUAAGGCGAGCGAGAAAACUCUGGUUAAGGAACUCGGCAAAAUGGCUCCGUAACUUCGGGAGAAGGAGCGCCCCAGUAGGGUGUAGGACUUCGCGUCCGAAGCCCGAUGGGGUUGCAGAGACCAGGCCCAAGCGACUGUUUACUAAAAACACAGGAGCGUGCGAAGUCGCAAGACGCAGUAUACGCUCUGACGCCUGCCCGGUGCUGGAAGGUCAAGGGGAUGGGUUAGCUCUUCGGAGCGAAGCUGUGGAAUCAAGCCCCAGUAAGCGGCGGCGGUAACUAUAACCGGCCUAAGGUAGCGAAAUUCCUUGUCGGGUAAUUGAAUUGCC